GAGAUACUCACUCCUUUCCGAAGGCAAGCGGGUUUGUCCUGUACUCUGUAUAGCCGCCUGUGAGCUUGUUGGUGGCCAAGAAUCAACAGCAAUGCCUGCUGCUUGUGGAAUGGAGAUGAUGCAUGCUAUGUGGUUGAUGCACGACGACCUUCCCUGCAUGGACAAUGAUGAUUUCCGUCGAGGAAAACUGUCAAAUCACAAGGUUUAUGGCGAAAAUGUCACUGUUUUAGCUGGUUAUUCCCUUGUUGCCUUUGCAUUUCAGCAUAUGACAACAGCCACUAAAGGGGUACACCCGAAAACAAUGGUUCGUGCUGUUGGAGAACUAGCAAGAUUGAUAGGUCCAGAGGGGGUAGUGGCUGGCCAGGUGCUUGACUUGCUGUGUGGAGGUAACUCUGAUACUGGAUUAGAAGAGCUUGAGUAUAUUCAUCGUCACAAGACUGCAGACUUUGCAGAGGCCGCAGCCAUUGUAGGAGCAUUGGUUGGUGGUGCGUCUGAGGAGGAGAUUAAUAGACUUAGGAAAUUCUCGCAGUGUUUUGGACUGAUGUAUCAGGUUGUGGAUGAUAUUCUUGAUGUCACUAAAUCCUCUGAGCAAUUAGGAAAGACAGCGGGGAAGGAUUUGUUGGCUAACAAAUUGACGUACCCAAAGAUGAUUGGCAUUGACAAGUCCAAAGAAUAUGCUCAAAAACUUAACAAGGAGGCCAAGGAGCAACUUGUUGGUUUUGAUCCAAAAAAGUCAGCUCCAUUACUUGCUUUGGCAGAUUUCGCUCUUCAUCGGCAAAAAUGAUCUUGUUAGGAUAAUUAUGCCUGUAUUAUUUAACUUUAAUUGUGCACAUUUUAUUUUCAUGUAAGGACAUAGUAGGGAGCAGAGCUCUUUCAGUUCUUUGAGAUUUAUCUGGAAACAUGAAUGCUGCUUAAUUUGUCCAUCUGAAACUGGCUUUUCUAAUGUGUACUCCCUCAUAAAUUCACAAGUUUAAAUCCACAAUGAACAAAGCUUUUAAAAAACAAAAAGAUAUACACUGCAGUGACAGGCGGGAAUACUUACCACUAUACUACAACGACUGCUUGUCAGAGCUACAGCCUUUGUUAUAUUCCAUUCAAGAAAACUAGUUGUAUGGAGUAUACAGAGAUGUUGUGCUCUUUGCGAUUGUUGAUUGAUUCCUCCAUGCAGGUUUGUCUAUGCUUCGUCCCCGAUGUUGUGCUCUUUGCGACGCUCGGUAAGUGAGCUUCUAACUUCUUUUUUGUUUUCCGGUCUGAAACUGUGAUUGAUGUUGCCCUUUCUUUUAAUUUUGCACUGAAAAAGAUUUGAUCUUUGAACAAUAGAAUGAGCACCCGAAGGUGCAAAUACCAACCCUAAUAGUUAAAUCAAGAUUAGGUCUGUGAUUUGUUCUACAUGUUGCCUAGCCCAUUUGGUUCUUGUAGAUGCUUCAUACCUUUUCUCUUUGCUUGUUAUUGUGUACUGUCUGUUGUUGUAUUGGUGUCUGCAUUUUGGCUCUUGAGUUCCUAUAGCUGAGUAUGUUUCCUCUCUGCUGAGCCAGUCCAAUUUAGAGGUUUAUUGUACUGAGCCAAUCCAGGAAGCAUUACACCAAUUUUGUUUCUGUACUGUUUUGUAUGUGUCCGUGUUUGUGCUGUUGUUCUUUGUCUUCCUUGAAGGUCUACCUGCAACCAAAGAAACCAGAUUAGUUAAAAGUUUGUUUCUCAUGUUCUCCUCCCAAUAUGAAAUUUGUUCAUGAUAAACAGUGGCCUCCUUCCAUCUUUCACUCCAGCUUUUCAUCUCUUGCAUGAUCUGAUCCUCAAGUUAGGGAAAACAGUAAGUGUAUAGGCAUACUCUGUAGCACAAGUUUAACGAGUGUUACCCUCCCACCAAUAGAAAGUAGCUUCCCUGUUCAUUAGUUGAGUAUAUUAAAAACCUUGUCUGUGAUCUCUUUAUAGUGUGCUAUUAAUCUCUUUGCAUAGUAAAUUGGUACUUCCAAAUAUGUGAAGGGGAAAUCUUUUGUAGGAAUUCUGGUAAUCUCUGACACUUUAGCUUUUACUUCUUGACUCGCAUUGUGAUCAAGAAAGAUUGCAAUCUUGCCUUUGCUCAUUUUCUGAACACUUGCUAUUUCAUAUGUUGAGAGAGUAUCCAUGAUCAAUAUUAGUGAUUCUUCAUUAGCAAAGACAAAUAUAAUAGUGUCAUCAGCAUAAACAAGAUGGUUUAUGUCUGGACUCCAUUUUGGCAUGCCAAAUCCAGCAAAUCUGUGAUCUGAGUGUGAUGCACUUAAUGCCCUUGACUAGAGCUGUCAAUAUGGGCUAGCCCACCCCAUCCGGGCUAACCCAUACAGGCUUUGACAUUUUACAGGUCAGGCCGGGCUAGCCCAUUUUUGGUGUGGGCCAGAAAAUGGUCGGCCCAGCCCACAAGUACGUGGGCUAUAGGCUUGCCGGGCUAGCCCACUUUUUUAAAAAUUAUAUUUUUUCUAUAAUUAUUAAAAUAAAUUAUAAUUGUAAUUUAAAAAUAUUAUCAUAAAUAUCGACAAAACAAUAUUACAUGGUGUUAAUGUUACUANNNNNNNNNNNNNNNNNNNNNNNNNNNNNNNNNNNNNNNNNNNNNNNNNNNNNNNNNNNNNNNNNNNNNNNNNNNNNNNNNNNNNNNNNNNNNNNNNNNNNNNNNNNNNNNNNNNNNNNNNNNNNNNNNNNNNNNNNNUGAUCAUCUUCAUCAAGCAUAUCUGAAUCAGCUUGCGGCAAGGUUGUCUUAACAUCUUUAUUUUCAUCUGCAAUUUAUAUGCGGUUUCAAUUAGUUAAAUAUUAAAUAGAUUUUGAGUUUGGACUCUCUUUAAUUUUAAAUUUUAAUAUUAUAUUAUAUUUUUUUAAUUAUUUUUAUUUAGUCCACGGGCCGGCCCUACCUAUAUUUCUCAAGCCCCAUAGAUCAGCAGACUUAUUCAGGCCGGGCUAAAAAACCUUUUUCUUAAAUGGGCUCCAAAAAUCUUAGCCCAGCCCUAUUAAAUCCCGGGUUAGGCCAGGCCGGCCCAACGGGCCUAGCCCAUAUUGACGGCUCUACCCUUGACAUGCAUUCUGAGGCCAAAAUGAAUAGAGUUCAUGGCAACAAAAGAAAAAUCUUACCAUUUUCAUCAUAUCUUUGGCAAUGAAGAAUCUUUACUGACGAGAAGAGAAAGGGGAAAUGCCUUCAGUUUCAUAAAAUAUUCCUGCAUUUUUGUCAUAUAUAAUUAAUGAGUAUAGCUUUGGUUGGUGCUAUGUCAACUUCCCCUCCUUCAUUCAAACUUGGAGCUUUUAUAAAUUAUUGAAUGUGCCAAAUAAUUUUGACUUGCUUUCCAACUGGAUCUGCCUUUUAAAUGUAGGAGUAAUAAUUUUCUUCGUGGCUUUCACUUUGGAAAUCAAUUUUUUCUUAAAGUCAUGUGAGUGAGACCAUUAUGUGGGUAAAAUCUUCCACUCAUCCUCUAUAGGUAUGAGCAAAAUACCAAAGAGCCAACUCAUGAGUUAUAGCAAGGUCCCAUAAAGUUUUUGGCUUGAGGAUUCCAGUCUGGAUAGUAAUUCACCAGAUCAGAGAAAAAGAUUGGCAGACUUCUCAAGUUAAGAGUCAUGUCUAUGCUAAAAAGAGUAAUCCACAAUCUUGCAAAACUUAGUACAAGAGGUACUCCAAAAAGAUCCAGAUCUGCAGGAACAAAGUUGCUUCUUUCCUCAGAGGAAACAACAGAAGUUAUAUUCCUCCCAAAAGCAAGAUCCUUUUGUAAUAGCACAGAUCUUUCCAAGAAUGAAUCUGAAGUUAUCAAACAUGAAAACAUAUGUAGAGAAUCUGGAAAGACAACAAGUGUCUUUGAUUUCAAAAGUUACAUGGUUCAAAAGAUCAAAUCUGUCAAUCAAGCCUUAGAUGCUGCUGUUCCAAUCAGAGAGCCUAUCAAGUUCCAUGAAGCAAUGAGAUACUCACUCCUUUCUGAAGGCAAGCGGGUUUGCCCUGUACUCUGCAUAGCCGCCUGUGAGCUUGUUGCUGGCCAAGAAUCAACGGUGAUGCCUGCUGCUUGCGGAAUGGAGAUGAUAAUCUCUAUGUGUCUGAUGCACGACGACCUUCCCUGCAUGGACAAUGGUGAUCUCCGUCGAGGAAAGCUGUCAAAUCACAAGGUUUUUGGUGAAAAUGUCACUGUUCUAGCUGGUUAUUCACUUGUUGCCUUAGCAUUUGAGCAUAUGGCAACAACCACUAAAGGGGUGC
This 4195-nucleotide long non-coding RNA is filed under the name Solanum tuberosum (potato). Its description in RNAcentral is "long non-coding RNA (STUB_LNC003167)". The record is from RNAcentral. Lineage: Eukaryota; Viridiplantae; Streptophyta; Magnoliopsida; Solanales; Solanaceae.